RNAcentral lists this ribosomal RNA (520 nucleotides) under uncultured Glomus. RNAcentral's name for it is "SSU rRNA". It matches the Rfam family "Eukaryotic small subunit ribosomal RNA", at positions 569 to 1090 of the family's 1831-position model. Lineage: Eukaryota; Fungi; Glomeromycota; Glomeromycetes; Glomerales; Glomeraceae. The record is from RNAcentral.
AGCAGCCGCGGUAAUUCCAGCUCCAAUAGCGUAUAUUAAAGGUUGUUGCAGUUAAAAAGCUCGUAGUUGAAUUUCGGGGUUAGUAGGUUGGUCAUGCCUCUGGUAUGUACUGGUCUCACUGAUUCCUCCUUCCUGAUGAGCCGUAAUGCCAUUAAUUUGGUGUUGCGGGGAAUUUGGACUGUUACUUUGAAAAAUUAGAGUGUUUAAAGCAAGCUAACGCUUGAAUACAUUAGCAUGGAAUAAUGAAAUAGGACGUUCGAUCCUAUUUUGUUGGUUUCUAGGAUUGACGUAAUGAUUAAUAGGGAUAGUUGGGGGCAUUAGUAUUCAAUUGUCAAAGGUGAAAUUCUUGGAUUUAUUGAAGACUAACUACUGCGAAAGCAUUUGCCAAGGAUGUUUUCAUUAAUCAAGAACGAAAGUUAGGGGAUCGAAGAUGAUCAGAUACCGUCGUAGUCUUAACCAUAAACUAUGCCGACUAGGGAUCGGAUGAUGUUAAUUUUUAAUGUACUCAUUCGGCGCCUUA